UUUUGUUCCAGCCGGUAGGUCUCUAGACGUUACAGAGAACCCCAAAUAACCCAAUCUGCUAAUCUUCGAUAUCGCUUUAUACUCACGACCUUGUAUCCACUGACUGUCUUGUUAGAUUAACCCAAAAAUUUUCAUUCACUCCGCAUACUCAAUCUUAUAGAUACUUUUUUAAUUCUUUAAUCAUAGACGUAACUUCGAUUUCACAAAACAAUCAAGAGUAAUCACACCCACUUCAAAAAAAUCCCGA
Molecule: long non-coding RNA, 247 nt
Filed under: Physcomitrium patens
Lineage: Eukaryota; Viridiplantae; Streptophyta; Bryopsida; Funariales; Funariaceae
Description: long non-coding RNA (PPAT_LNC010933)
Source: RNAcentral